RNAcentral lists this ribosomal RNA (546 nucleotides) under uncultured Glomeromycotina. RNAcentral describes it as "SSU rRNA". It matches the Rfam family "Eukaryotic small subunit ribosomal RNA", at positions 548 to 1098 of the family's 1831-position model. Lineage: Eukaryota; Fungi; Glomeromycota. The record is from RNAcentral.
UUGGAGGGCAAGUCUGGUGCCAGCAGCCGCGGUAAUUCCAGCUCCAAUAGCGUAUAUUAAAGUUGUUGCAGUUAAAAAGCUCGUAGUUGAAUUUCGGGAUUAGUACGCUGGUCGUGCCUUCGGUACGUACUGGUGUUACUGAUUCCUACCUUCUGACGAACCAUCAUGUCAUUAAUUUGGUGUGGCGGGGAAUCAGGACUGUUACUUUGAAAAAAUUAGAGUGUUUAAAGCAGGCUCGCGCUUGAAUACAUUAGCAUGGAAUAAUGAGAUAGGACGUUGAUCCUAUUUUGUUGGUUUCUAGGAUCACCGUAAUGAUUAAUAGGGAUGGUUGGGGGCAUUAGUAUUCAAUUGUCAGAGGUGAAAUUCUUGGAUUUAUUGAAGACUAACUUCUGCGAAAGCAUUUGCCAAGGAUGUUUUCAUUAAUCAAGAACGAAAGUUAGGGGAUCGAAGACGAUCAGAUACCGUCGUAGUCUUAACCAUAAACUAUGCCGACUAGGGAUCGGAUGAUGUUAUUUUUAAUGACUCAUUCGGCGCCUUACGGGAAAC